Molecule: long non-coding RNA, 231 nt
Organism: Phlebotomus argentipes
Lineage: Eukaryota; Metazoa; Arthropoda; Insecta; Diptera; Psychodidae
Exons: 4
Source: RefSeq, a predicted model, not a curated record
GAUCGUAUGGAUAAUAUGGUUCUUAGCAGUAUUUAGGCGAACACAAUUAUCUCUGCCGCCGAGACCUCUUGAUCUCUUGCGGCUCUUAGAGAUGAUAGAAUGCAAUGAUCUAAACUUCAUUAUAUGAUAAUCAAUUACGUUCCAACGGUGAAGAGCAUUUAUCGGGGAAAAGUGCUAUUCUCAGAGUCAACGAAGGGAUUUUCUAGACCAUUAAGAUGCUUGCGACUGAAC